CAGUAGCCGCGGGAAUACGGAGGGAGCUAGCGUUGUUCGGAAUUACUGGGCGUAAAGCGCACGUAGGCGGUUAUUCAAGUCAGAGGUGAAAGCCCGGGGCUCAACCCCAGAACUGCCUUUGAAACUAGAUGACUGGAAUCUUGGAGAGGUCAGUGGAAUUCCGAGUGUAGAGGUGAAAUUCGUAGAUAUUCGGAAGAACACCAGUGGCGAAGGCGACUGACUGGACAAGUAUUGACGCUGAGGUGCGAAAGCGUGGGGAGCAAACAGGAUUAGAUACCCCGGUAGUCCCUGUCUCUUAUAC
Molecule: ribosomal RNA, 301 nt
Filed under: uncultured bacterium
Lineage: Bacteria
Description: partial 16S ribosomal RNA
Rfam family: Bacterial small subunit ribosomal RNA
Source: RNAcentral